GACAGCAGCCAUAUCACCCAGCACCUCUAAACUAGCUACCCACUGAAGCUAAGCAGGGUUGAGCCUGGUCACUGCCUGGAUGGGAGACCUCCUGGGAAGCUAUGGUUGCUGCUGGAA
Lepisosteus oculatus (spotted gar) is the source of this 117-nucleotide ribosomal RNA. The record is from Ensembl. Lineage: Eukaryota; Metazoa; Chordata; Actinopteri; Semionotiformes; Lepisosteidae.